This 499-nucleotide ribosomal RNA is filed under the name Karyolysus sp. RNAcentral describes it as "SSU rRNA". It matches the Rfam family "Eukaryotic small subunit ribosomal RNA", at positions 358 to 850 of the family's 1831-position model. Lineage: Eukaryota; Apicomplexa; Karyolysidae. The record is from RNAcentral.
GUUAACGGGGGAUUAGGGUUCGAUUCCGGAGAGGGAGCCUGAGAAACGGCUACCACAUCUAAGGAAGGCAGCAGGCGCGCAAAUUACCCAAUUCUAACAGCAUAAGAGAGGUAGUGACAAGAAAUAACAAUACAAGGCAGUUAAAAUGCUUUGUAAUUGGAAUGAUAGAAAUUUAAACACUUUUUAAAGUAUCAAUUGGAGGGCAAGUCUGGUGCCAGCAGCCGCGGUAAUUCCAGCUCCAAUAGCGUAUAUUAAAAUUGUUGCAGUUAAAAAGCUCGUAGUUGAAUUUCUGCUUAAAAUAACCAGUCUGCUUUUAACAAAAGUGGUAUCUUGGUGUGUUUUUAGCAAUAAUGUCCUUUGAAAUGUGUUUUACUUUGUUGUAAAAGGCAAUAUUCAGGAUUUUUACUUUGAGAAAAUUAGAGUGUUUCUAGCAGGCUAAUGCUUUGAAUACUGCAGCAUGGAAUAAUAAAAUAGGAAUUUGGUUCUACAUUAUUGGUUU